Molecule: ribosomal RNA, 459 nt
Filed under: uncultured bacterium
Lineage: Bacteria
Description: partial 16S ribosomal RNA
Rfam family: Bacterial small subunit ribosomal RNA
Source: RNAcentral
CCUACGGGAGGCUGCAGUGAGGAAUAUUGGUCAAUGGGCGCGAGCCUGAACCAGCCAAGUCGCGUGAGGGAAGACGGUCCUAUGGAUUGUAAACCUCUUUUGUCGGGGAGCAAAAGACGCCACGCGUGGCGUUCCGAGAGUACCCGAAGAAAAAGCAUCGGCUAACUCCGUGCCAGCAGCCGCGGUAAUACGGAGGAUGCGAGCGUUAUCCGGAUUUAUUGGGUUGAAAGGGUGCGCAGGCGGGAGAUCAAGUCAGCGGUAAAAUUGAGAGGCUCAACCUCUUCGAGCCGUUGAAACUGGUUAUCUUGAGUGAGUGAGAAGUAUGCGGAAUGCGUGGUGUAGCGGUGAAAUGCAUAGAUAUCACGCAGAACUCCGAUUGCGAAGGCAGCAUACCGGCGCUCAACUGACGCUCAUGCACGAAAGUGUGGGUAUCGAACAGGAUUAGAUACCCUGGUAGUC